RNAcentral lists this ribosomal RNA (517 nucleotides) under uncultured bacterium. RNAcentral describes it as "bacterial SSU rRNA". It matches the Rfam family "Bacterial small subunit ribosomal RNA", at positions 28 to 526 of the family's 1533-position model. The record is from RNAcentral.
GACGAACGCUGGCGGCGUGCCUAAUACAUGCAAGUCGAGCGAACGAGGAAGAAACUUGUUUCUUCCUUUGUUAGCGGCGGAUGGGUGAGUAACACGUGGGCAACCUGCCCUGCAGUUGGGGAUAACUCCGGGAAACCGGGGCUAAUACCGAAUAAUUAGUUCCUUCGCAUGAAGGAACUCUGAAAGACGGCUAUGCUGUCACUACAGGAUGGGCCCGCGGCGCAUUAGCUAGUUGGUGAGGUAACGGCUUACCAAGGCGACGAUGCGUAGCCGACCUGAGAGGGUGAUCGGCCACACUGGGACUGAGACACGGCCCAGACUCCUACGGGAGGCAGCAGUAGGGAAUCUUCCACAAUGGACGAAAGUCUGAUGGAGCAACGCCGCGUGAGCGAAGAAGGUUUUCGGAUCGUAAAGCUCUGUUGUGAGGGAAGAACAAGUAUAGGAGUAACUGCCUGUACCUUGACGGUACCUCAUUAGAAAGCCACGGCUAACUACGUGCCAGCCGCCGCAGUAAAAC